AACGAACGCUGGCGGCAUGCCUAACACAUGCAAGUCGAACGAGACCUUCGGGUCUAGUGGCGCACGGGUGCGUAACGCGUGGGAACCUGCCCUUAGGUUCGGAAUAACUCCCCGAAAGGGGUGCUAAUACCGGAUAAUGUCUUCGGACCAAAGAUUUAUCGCCUUUGGAUGGGCCCGCGUUGGAUUAGCUAGUUGGUAGGGUAAAAGCCUACCAAGGCGACGAUCCAUAGCUGGUCUGAGAGGAUGAUCAGCCACACUGGGACUGAGACACGGCCCAGACUCCUACGGGAGGCAGCAGGGGGGAAUAUUGGAACAUGGGCGAAAGCCUGAUCCAGCAAUGCCGCGUGAGUGAUGAAGGGCUUAGGGUUGUAAAGCUCCUUUACCCGGGAUGAUAAUGACAGUACCGGGAGAAUAAGCUCCGGCUAACUCCGUG
This 433-nucleotide ribosomal RNA is filed under the name uncultured bacterium. RNAcentral's name for it is "partial 16S ribosomal RNA". It matches the Rfam family "Bacterial small subunit ribosomal RNA", at positions 29 to 507 of the family's 1533-position model. The record is from RNAcentral.